This 438-nucleotide ribosomal RNA is filed under the name uncultured Bacillota bacterium. RNAcentral's name for it is "bacterial SSU rRNA". It matches the Rfam family "Bacterial small subunit ribosomal RNA", at positions 917 to 1359 of the family's 1533-position model. Lineage: Bacteria; Bacillati; Bacillota. The record is from RNAcentral.
GGGCCCGCACAAGCAGUGGAUUAUGUGGUUUAAUUCGAAGCAACGCGAAAACCUUACCAGGUCUUGACAUGCUAAGGAUUCUGAAGAGAUUCGGAAGUGCCCUUCGGGGAGCUUAGACACAGGUGGUGCAUGGUUGUCGUCAGCUCGUGUCGUGAGAUGUUGGGUUAAGUCCCGCAACGAGCGCAACCCUUGCCUUUAGUUGCUACGCAAGAGCACUCUAAAGGGACCGCUACCGACAAGGUGGAGGAAGGUGGGGACGACGUCAAAUCAUCAUGCCCCUUACGACCUGGGCCACACACGUAAUACAAUGGCCGUUAACAGCGAGAGGCGAACCCGCGAGGGGGGAGCAAAACUCCAAAAACGGUCCCAGUUCGGAUCGCAGGCUGCAACCCGCCUGCGUGAAGUUGGAAUUGCUAGUAAUCGCGGAUCAGCAUGCCG